CCUACGGGUGGCAGCAGUGGGGAAUAUUGGACAAUGGGGGCAACCCUGAUCCAGCCAUGCCGCGUGUGUGAAGAAGGCCCUCGGGUUGUAAAGCACUUUCAGUGAGGAAGAACGCCUGGUGGUUAAUACCCAUCAGGAAAGACAUCAAUCACAGAAGAAGCACCGGCUAACUCCGUGCCAGCAGCCGCGGUAAUACGGAGGGUGCGAGCGUUAAUCGGAAUUACUGGGCGUAAAGCGCGCGUAGGUGGCUUGAUAAGCCGGUUGUGAAAGCCCCGGGCUCAACCUGGGAACGGCAUCCGGAACUGUCAAGCUAGAGUGCAGGAGAGGAAGGUAGAAUUCCCGGUGUAGCGGUGAAAUGCGUAGAGAUCGGGAGGAAUACCAGUGGCGAAGGCGGCCUUCUGGACUGACACUGACACUGAGGUGCGAAAGCGUGGGUAGCAAACAGGAUUAGAUACCCGAGUAGUC
Molecule: ribosomal RNA, 465 nt
Filed under: Vreelandella stevensii
Lineage: Bacteria; Pseudomonadati; Pseudomonadota; Gammaproteobacteria; Oceanospirillales; Halomonadaceae
Description: partial 16S ribosomal RNA
Rfam family: Bacterial small subunit ribosomal RNA
Source: RNAcentral